Molecule: ribosomal RNA, 253 nt
Filed under: uncultured bacterium
Lineage: Bacteria
Description: partial 16S ribosomal RNA
Rfam family: Bacterial small subunit ribosomal RNA
Source: RNAcentral
UACGUAGGGGGCGAGCGUUGUCCGGAAUUAUUGGGCGUAAAGAGCGUGUAGGCGGUUCGGUAAGUCUGCCGUGAAAACUCGAGGCUCAACCUCGAGCUGUCGGUGGAAACUGUCUGGCUAGAGUCCGGAAGAGGAGAGUGGAAUUCCUGGUGUAGCGGUGAAAUGCGCAGAUAUCAGGAAGAACACCCGUGGCUAAGGCGGCUCUCUAGUACGGUACUGACGCUGAGACGCGAAAGCGUGGGGAGCAAACAGG